Long non-coding RNA from Salvelinus sp. IW2-2015, 606 nucleotides. RefSeq lists it as uncharacterized. NCBI's taxonomy places the organism in Eukaryota, Metazoa, Chordata, Actinopteri, Salmoniformes, Salmonidae. The record is from RefSeq and is a predicted model, not a curated record.
AUCCCAUCUAAAAAAUAAUAUUAAUAAUACACAUAACUUGUGGCUCCAUAUUGAUGGGCUAUAUGCAUUUGUAAUAUGUAAUAGCCAUAUUGCACGAAUUCAGCUUAUGAGACAAAAGUAUAAUGUGCUCAACUAUUUGGAUAGUAAGGCACACUUCUAGCGCACUGGAAGUACGUCACUUUUCGCAGCAAAACAACGUUUUCAACACGGGUUCCUAAAUGACUGUGGUGGCAGCCUGCAUCACAUAGAAGAUGAACACGGGUGAUUGGGGGAAACAGAUUGAAGAAGGUGGAACAACUAGCUCAGUCCUUCCAGCAGUGUCCUUUGUCCUCUCGCUUCAAACCAAGGCUGUCCCGGCCAUGGCAGCCAUCCUCCAUAUGGAGGCUCUUCCCCCGUCAAUGUAUGGCUAUCAACUUUGCCCAGAGAGGACGUGCACGUGUUUGCACUUGAGAAGGAACAGGCCAAGAUGGAUGGGAAGAUCUUCCUGGUCACCAGUUACAGUGAGCUAUGGCAUUACUACAGCGCAAGGGGACCAAAGACACUGUCACAGUAGACAAGGGAGGGCACAACCGUCGCCAAUCAUCACAUCCGAAGAGCAUUACAUUC